AGAGUUUGAUCAUGGCUCAGAUUGAACGCUGGCGGCAUGCCUUACACAUGCAAGUCGAACGGCAGCACGGGAGCAAUCCUGGUGGCGAGUGGCGAACGGGUGAGUAAUACAUCGGAACGUGCCCAGUAGUGGGGGAUAGCCCGGCGAAAGCCGGAUUAAUACCGCAUACGACCUGAGGGUGAAAGCGGGGGAUCGCAAGACCUCGCGCUAUUGGAGCGGCCGAUGUCAGAUUAGCUAGUUGGUGGGGUAAAGGCCUACCAAGGCAACGAUCUGUAGUUGGUCUGAGAGGACGACCAGCCACACUGGGACUGAGACACGGCCCAGACUCCUACGGGAGGCAGCAGUGGGGAAUUUUGGACAAUGGGCGCAAGCCUGAUCCAGCAAUGCCGCGUGCAGGAAGAAGGCCUUCGGGUUGUAAACUGCUUUUGUCAGGGAAGAAAUCCUCUGGGCUAAUACCUCGGGGGGAUGACGGUACCUGAAGAAUAAGCACCGGCUAACUACGUGCCAGCAGCCGCGGUAAUACGUAGGGUGCGAGCGUUAAUCGGGAAUUACUGGGCGUAAAGCGUGCGCAGGCGGCUUUGCAAGACAGAGGUGAAAUCCCCGGGCUCAACCUGGGAACUGCCUUUGUGACUGCAAGGCUAGAGUACGGCAGAGGGAGAUGGAAUUCCGCGUGUAGCAUUGAAAUGCGUAGGAUAUGCGGAGGAAC
This 706-nucleotide ribosomal RNA is filed under the name uncultured beta proteobacterium. RNAcentral's name for it is "bacterial SSU rRNA". It matches the Rfam family "Bacterial small subunit ribosomal RNA", at positions 8 to 707 of the family's 1533-position model. The record is from RNAcentral. Lineage: Bacteria; Pseudomonadati; Pseudomonadota; Betaproteobacteria.